GACGAACGCUGGCGGCGUGCCUAAUACAUGCAAGUAGAACGCUGAAGGAGGAGCUUGCUUCUCUGGAUGAGUUGCGAACGGGUGAGUAACGCGUAGGUAACCUGCCUGGUAGCGGGGGAUAACUAUUGGAAACGAUAGCUAAUACCGCAUAAUAGCAGUUGUUGCAUGAUAACUGUUUGAAAGGUGCAAUUGCACCACUACCAGAUGGACCUGCGUUGUAUUAGCUAGUUGGUGGGGUAACGGCUCACCAAGGCGACGAUACAUAGCCGACGGGAGAGGGGGAUCGGCCACACUGGGACUGAGACACGGCCCAGACUCCUACGGGAGGCAGCAGUAGGGAAUCUUCGGCAAUGGACGGAAGUCUGACCGAGCAACGCCGCGUGAGUGAAGAAGGUUUUCGGAUCGUAAAGCUCUGUUGUAAGAGAAGAACGAGUGUGAGAGUGGAAAGUUCACACUGUGACGGUAUCUUACCAGAAAGGGACGGCUAACUACGUG
RNAcentral lists this ribosomal RNA (495 nucleotides) under uncultured bacterium. RNAcentral describes it as "partial 16S ribosomal RNA". It matches the Rfam family "Bacterial small subunit ribosomal RNA", at positions 28 to 507 of the family's 1533-position model. The record is from RNAcentral.